UACGUAGGGGGCAAGCGUUGUCCGGAAUCAUUGGACGUAAAGAGCGUGUAGGCGGCCAGACAGGUCCGUUGUGAAAACUCGAGGCUCAACCUCGAGACGCCGAUGGAAACCGUCUGGCUAGAGUCCGGAAGAGGAGAGUGGAAUUCCUGGUGUAGCGGUGAAAUGCGCAGAUAUCAGGAAGAACACCCGUGGCUAAGGCGGCUCUCUAGUACGGUACUGACGCUGAGACGCGAAAGCGUGGGGAGCGAACAGG
This 253-nucleotide ribosomal RNA is filed under the name uncultured bacterium. RNAcentral describes it as "partial 16S ribosomal RNA". It matches the Rfam family "Bacterial small subunit ribosomal RNA", at positions 524 to 776 of the family's 1533-position model. The record is from RNAcentral.